CAGUGAUAAACUGGAGGAAGGUGGGGAUGACGUCAAGUCAUCAUGGCCCUUACGACCAGGGCUACACACGUGCUACAAUGGCGCAUACAAAGAGAAGCGACCUCGCGAGAGCAAGCGGACCUCAUAAAGUGCGUCGUAGUCCGGAUUGGAGUCUGCAACUCGACUCCAUGAAGUCGGAAUCGCUAGUAAUCGUGGAUCAGAAUGCCACGGUGAAUACGUUCCCGGGCCUUGUACACACCGCCCGUCACACCAUGGGAGUGGGUUGCAAAAGAAGUAGGUAGCUUAACCUUCGGGAGGGCGCUUACCACUUUGUGAUUCAUGACUGGGGUGAAGUCGUAACAAGGUAACCGUAGGGGAACCUGCGGUUGGAUCACCUCCUUACCUUAAAGAA
Molecule: ribosomal RNA, 391 nt
Filed under: Salmonella enterica subsp. enterica serovar Muenchen
Lineage: Bacteria; Pseudomonadati; Pseudomonadota; Gammaproteobacteria; Enterobacterales; Enterobacteriaceae
Also listed under: 89 other names
Description: bacterial SSU rRNA
Rfam family: Bacterial small subunit ribosomal RNA
Source: RNAcentral